RNAcentral lists this ribosomal RNA (460 nucleotides) under uncultured bacterium. RNAcentral describes it as "partial 16S ribosomal RNA". It matches the Rfam family "Bacterial small subunit ribosomal RNA", at positions 338 to 795 of the family's 1533-position model. The record is from RNAcentral.
CCUACGGGUGGCAGCAGUGAGGAAUAUUGGUCAAUGGGCGCGAGCCUGAACCAGCCAAGUAGCGUGAAGGAUGACUGCCCUACGGGUUGUAAACUUCUUUUAUAAAGGAAUAAAGUGAGGCACGUGUGCCUUUUUGUAUGUACUUUAUGAAUAAGGAUCGGCUAACUCCGUGCCAGCAGCCGCGGUAAUACGGAGGAUCCGAGCGUUUUCCGGAUUUAUUGGGUUUAAAGGGAGCGUAGAUGGGUUGUUAAGUCGGUUGUGAAAGUUUGCGGCUCAACCGUUGAAUUGCCAUUGAUACUGGCUUCCUGGAGUACGGAUGCGGUAGGCGGAAUGUGUGGUGUAGCGGUGAAAUGCAUAGAUAUCACACAGAACUCCGAUUGCGAAGGCAGCUCACGAAUCCGCGAUUGACACUGAUGCACGAAAGUGUGGGUAUCAAACAGGAUUAGAUACCCGUGUAGUC